RNAcentral lists this transfer RNA (74 nucleotides) under Camelus bactrianus (Bactrian camel). It matches the Rfam family "tRNA". Rfam says of the family: Transfer RNA (tRNA) molecules are approximately 80 nucleotides in length. Their secondary structure includes four short double-helical elements and three loops (D, anti-codon, and T loops). Further hydrogen bonds mediate the characteristic L-shaped molecular structure. tRNAs have two regions of fundamental functional importance: the anti-codon, which is responsible for specific mRNA codon recognition, and the 3' end, to which the tRNAs corresponding amino acid is attached (by aminoacyl-tRNA synthetases). tRNAs cope with the degeneracy of the genetic code in two manners: having more than one tRNA (with a specific anti-codon) for a particular amino acid; and 'wobble' base-pairing, i.e. permitting non-standard base-pairing at the 3rd anti-codon position. Lineage: Eukaryota; Metazoa; Chordata; Mammalia; Artiodactyla; Camelidae. RNAcentral also lists the same sequence under 2 other names. The record is from Rfam by way of RNAcentral.
AAGGGUAUAGCUCAAGUGGUAGAGCGCAUGCUCAGCAUGCAAGAGGUCCCUGGGUUCAAUCCCCAGUACCUCCU